Choloepus didactylus (southern two-toed sloth) is the source of this 418-nucleotide long non-coding RNA. RefSeq lists it as uncharacterized. Lineage: Eukaryota; Metazoa; Chordata; Mammalia; Pilosa; Megalonychidae. The record is from RefSeq and is a predicted model, not a curated record. The transcript has 3 exons.
AGUAAAUGCAAUCCAUCCUGGGUCAUUAUGAAUUUUGAGUUGCUCUUGAUCCCAUUGGCCCAUGCUUUAGUUUCAAAAGUGUUGGAGAUUUCCUGCUCCUCCUCAUGCAGAUGCAUUCAGGGUCCCUGGACCUUUAUUUUCUCUAUUCCACAUGGAGCUGAAUCCCACUGGAGGGUGCCAAGUGAUGGUGGAAAACUUCUGACCACACAUGCCUCCUACCUCCCUGGGGCCCUCCCAAUUAUUUCUGGGCCUCACUCCUUAUGGUGAGUCUCCUUUUUGCCUUUUAUUCUUUAUGAUGUAUCCUUGUGCCACCAAAAGACACAGACAUCCCUUUUUUGAAUGCUCCAAUGAAUGAUUCCCUAUGUUAUGGAGGAAUUCUUUUUGCUUCCACUGCACCUUUCAUUUCCUAACCCAUCAU